Molecule: ribosomal RNA, 301 nt
Filed under: uncultured bacterium
Lineage: Bacteria
Description: partial 16S ribosomal RNA
Rfam family: Bacterial small subunit ribosomal RNA
Source: RNAcentral
CAGCAGCCGCGGUAAAACGAAGGGUGCAAGCGUUAAUCGGAAUUACUGGGCGUAAAGCGUGCGUAGGCGGUUUGUUAAGUCUGCUGUGAAAUCCCCGGGCUCAACCUGGGAAUGGCAGUGGAUACUGGCAAGCUAGAGUGUGUCAGAGGAUGGUGGAAUUCCCGGUGUAGCGGUGAAAUGCGUAGAGAUCGGGAGGAACAUCAGUGGCGAAGGCGGCCAUCUGGGACAACACUGACGCUGAGGCACGAAAGCGUGGGGAGCAAACAGGAUUAGAUACCCGGGUAGUCCCUGUCUCUUAUAC